UCAGUUAUUAGGUUGAGUUGUGUUGGAUUUUGUUUCCAUCCAUCUUGUUUCCUAUGGAGACGUACUGAAAUAUGUUUGGGUCUCCAUACGUCUUGUUCUGUCCUUUUGAGCUCAUUUUCUUAGUUGUUGAAUCCACACCCUUCCUUUUUGUUUCAAUUGUUAGCCGUUUCCUCUUCUUUGCGAACUCUACAUGCCUGAACUCUGGUUCGAG
This 211-nucleotide long non-coding RNA is filed under the name Elaeis guineensis (African oil palm). RNAcentral's name for it is "long non-coding RNA (EGUI_LNC073596)". Lineage: Eukaryota; Viridiplantae; Streptophyta; Magnoliopsida; Arecales; Arecaceae. The record is from RNAcentral.